GACGAACCGUGCGAACGUUGUUCGGAAUCACUGGGCUUAAAGGGCGCGUAGGCGGCUCGACAAGUCGGGGGUGAAAUCUUUCGGCUCAACCGGAAAAGGGCCUCCGAUACUGUCGAGCUCGAGGGAGGUAGGGGCGGACGGAACUUCCGGUGGAGCGGUGAAAUGCGUUGAUAUCAUUAGGAACACCGGUGGCGAAGGCGGCUUACUGGGUCUUUUCUGACGCUGAGGCACGAAAGCCAGGGGAGCGAACGGG
Molecule: ribosomal RNA, 253 nt
Filed under: uncultured bacterium
Lineage: Bacteria
Description: partial 16S ribosomal RNA
Rfam family: Bacterial small subunit ribosomal RNA
Source: RNAcentral